UUGACGGGGCCCGCACAAGCGGUGGAGCAUGUGGUUUAAUUCGACGCAACGCGAAGAACCUUACCUGGGCUUGACAUCCCGAUCGUACCUGCUGGAAACAGCGGGGUCAGUUCGGCUGGAUCGGAGACAGGUGCUGCAUGGCUGUCGUCAGCUCGUGUCGUGAGAUGUUGGGUUAAGUCCCGCAACGAGCGCAACCCUUGUCCUUAGUUGCCAUCAUUUAGUUGGGCACUCUAAGGAGACUGCCGGUGUUAAACCGGAGGAAGGUGGGGAUGACGUCAAGUCCUCAUGGCCCUUAUGUCCAGGGCUACACACGUGCUACAAUGGCCGGUACAAAGGGCAGCAAAGCCGCGAGGUGGAGCCAAUCCCAGAAAGCCGGUCUCAGUUCGGAUUGGAGUCUGCAACUCGACUCCAUGAAGUUGGAAUCGCUAGUAAUCGCGGAUCAGCAUGCCGCGGUCGAAUACGUUCCCGGGCCUU
RNAcentral lists this ribosomal RNA (474 nucleotides) under uncultured Desulfuromonas sp. Its description in RNAcentral is "bacterial SSU rRNA". It matches the Rfam family "Bacterial small subunit ribosomal RNA", at positions 910 to 1382 of the family's 1533-position model. Lineage: Bacteria; Pseudomonadati; Thermodesulfobacteriota; Desulfuromonadia; Desulfuromonadales; Desulfuromonadaceae. The record is from RNAcentral.